RNAcentral lists this ribosomal RNA (253 nucleotides) under uncultured bacterium. Its description in RNAcentral is "partial 16S ribosomal RNA". It matches the Rfam family "Bacterial small subunit ribosomal RNA", at positions 524 to 776 of the family's 1533-position model. The record is from RNAcentral.
UACGGAGGGUGCAAGCGUUAUCCGGAUUUACUGGGUUUAAAGGGUGCGUAGGCGGACGAUUAAGUCGAUGGUUAAAGGCCAGAGCUCAACUCUGGAAAUGCCGUCGAUACUGGUUGUCUUGAGUUCUGUAGAGGUAACUGGAAUUAAUAGUGUAGCGGUGAAAUGCAUAGAUACUAUUAAGAACACCGAUAGCGAAGGCAGGUUACUGGGCAGAAACUGACGCUGAGGCACGAAAGCAUGGGUAUCGAACAGG